GUGUGGGUCCCAUUCCACGGGGUCCGUGCCGCAGCUAACGCAUUAAGCGCCCCGCCUGGGGAGUACGGCCGCAAGGCUAAAACUCAAAGGAAUUGACGGGGGCCCGCACAAGCGGCGGAGCAUGCGGAUUAAUUCGAUGCAACGCGAAGAACCUUACCAAGGCUUGACAUGUACCGGAAACUCCCAGAGAUGGGGGCCCCGCAAGGUCGGUACACAGGUGGUGCAUGGUUGUCGUCAGCUCGUGUCGUGAGAUGUUGGGUUAAGUCCCGCAACGAGCGCAACCCUCGUUCUAUGUUGCCAGCACGUGAUGGUGGGGACUCAUAGGAGACUGCCGGGGUCAACUCGGAGGAAGGUGGGGAUGACGUCAAAUCAUCAUGCCCCUUACGUCUUGGGCUUCACGCAUGCUACAAUGGCCGGUACAGAGGGCUGCGAAACCGUGAGGUGGAGCGAAUCCCUUAAAGCUGGUCUCAGUUCGGAUUGGGGUCUGCAACUCGACCCCAUGAAGUCGGAGUCGCUAGUAAUCGCAGAUCAGCAACGCUGCGGUGAAUACGUUCCCGGGCCUUGUACACACCGCCCGUCAAGUCACGAAAGUCGGUAACACCCGAAGCCGGUGGCCCAACCCCUUGUGGGAGGGAGCCGUCGAAGGUGGGGC
This 652-nucleotide ribosomal RNA is filed under the name uncultured bacterium. RNAcentral's name for it is "bacterial SSU rRNA". It matches the Rfam family "Bacterial small subunit ribosomal RNA", at positions 820 to 1468 of the family's 1533-position model. The record is from RNAcentral.